UGAUGAUGGUGAGGGCAAUUUCUGAGCACACUUUUAAAUCUCUCCCAAUCUUAGUAGAUAUUCUCUCCUUUUUUUCUAUCUGAAACUCAAAAUUUUAUUUCCCAAACG
Capsicum annuum is the source of this 108-nucleotide non-coding RNA. The record is from Rfam. NCBI's taxonomy places the organism in Eukaryota, Viridiplantae, Streptophyta, Magnoliopsida, Solanales, Solanaceae.